RNAcentral lists this unclassified non-coding RNA (328 nucleotides) under Hevea brasiliensis (rubber tree). Lineage: Eukaryota; Viridiplantae; Streptophyta; Magnoliopsida; Malpighiales; Euphorbiaceae. The record is from RNAcentral.
GGAAGCUUCAGUUUCUGUAAAACCAGUUGCUAUUAAUCAGGUGGAUGCUGCGGAUCUAAAAGGUGGGAUUUCAGUGGCUGCAGCAGAGUAUGUAGAGAAUGAUACAAAAGAUACAAGAAUGGCAGAAGAUGGGGGAAGGGAGGACAUGUUUGUUGAUUGCCCUGAUGACAUAGAAGGUCCUGAAACUCCGCAGUAUGUAGACCAGAGCAAUGAUGCACAUGAUAGUCAACUGGAAGGAUUGAGCAAUGGAGCACAUGAUCUGGACUUGAAGGCCGAGGUAGAACAAUUGCGCAAAAUGCUAAAUGACAGUAUUGCUGAAAAAGAUCGC